Long non-coding RNA from Passer domesticus (house sparrow), 1029 nucleotides. RefSeq lists it as uncharacterized. Lineage: Eukaryota; Metazoa; Chordata; Aves; Passeriformes; Passeridae. The transcript is spliced from 4 exons. The record is from RefSeq and is a predicted model, not a curated record.
CACUGAGGAUCUGAAGUGAAACAGAGUAAUGCAAGAAGUAAAAUAAGAUGGAAACUCCGUAGCUGAAUGGACAUUCCAAAGAUGAGCCACUGCUUUCCCGCAUCUGACAAUGAGUUUUGUGACUGUCUGAGCAAGGGGGCUAGUGAGUCUGUACAUGGAAUGGAGAGAGGGUUGUGCCCCAAAUUUGCUGAAGGAUCUUUUCCAUGGAACAGUGGCAAGUGAGAAAUGUCUUUGUAAGUCAGGUCCUUCCUCCACAUGAAUUUCUUCUUUAUGUUUUUAAGUAGUGAAGGAUGGAGACAGAGCAGUCAUGGACAUUAACUGACAUGCCAAAGGUUUCACAGCAAGUCAGCAAUUAAAUAAAACAUAUUCUGAAUGAUGAUACUGUUUUCUGUCCACAUUAGGCCACAAAUCUUAGCCCAAUGUGCCUGAAUUUGCCUACCAAAAUGUGCUGAAUCCUUCAGUUAAUGUAGCCAUGAUUUCUUUUUCAAUCAUUAUUCCAAGUGAUCCACAAUUCCAAGGGCAGGGUUUUUGUUGUUAGUGAUGUUCUAAGCAGCCACUGUGAUACCCUGUGCUCAUGUUGCUCCUCUGAACAGAAAAUCAACACUGCACCUCAAGCCAUUUUGUGUUCUGUUCUGUUGUAAAUUCAAAGUUCUUCUAUCAGCAUGGUUUUGUUUUGAGUUAAAAAUGAAAGCAAGUAUAGGAUUUCAUUCUUCCCCUGUGAAACAGGCAGUUUCUCUUUCUUUAUUCAUGCUCCCACUUCCUCCAGCACCACCUUGGUCUCUGAGUGCCAGUGUGCAUGUUAACCACAGCUGAAUGUCCUAAUACUUGAGAGAGGGGAAAGAAAGGAAGGUUUUUAUGUUAUUGUUUUAUAAAUGUUAUAUUGUUGUGUAAUUCACCCUGAUGGCUUCAGAAAUUCUCUUGAGUUCCAGCAUUAAAAACUGUUAUAAUUUGCAAUUAUGUCAGCUGUGUAUUUUGCCUGGAAAAUAUUAAUGCCUAAAAUUGUUUUAAUGAGAACUUAAUGUGUAAGCA